RNAcentral lists this ribosomal RNA (427 nucleotides) under uncultured marine bacterium. RNAcentral's name for it is "bacterial SSU rRNA". It matches the Rfam family "Bacterial small subunit ribosomal RNA", at positions 8 to 433 of the family's 1533-position model. The record is from RNAcentral.
AGAGUUUGAUCAUGGCUCAGAUUGAACGCUGGCGGCAGGCUUAACACAUGCAAGUCGAACGGUAACAGAACUAGCUUGCUAGUUGCUGACGAGUGGCGGACGGGUGAGUAACGCGUAGGAAUCUACCGAAUAGUGGGGGACAACAGUUGGAAACGGCUGCUAAUACCGCAUACGCCCUACGGGGGAAAGGAGGGGAUCUUCGGACCUUUCGCUAUUUGAUGAGCCUGCGUGAGAUUAGUUAGUUGGUGGGGUAGUGGCUCACCAAGGCGACGAUCUCUAGCUGGUCUGAGAGGAUGAUCAGCCACACUGGGACUGAGACACGGCCCAGACUCCUACGGGAGGCAGCAGUGGGGAAUAUUGCACAAUGAGGGAAACCCUGAUGCAGCCAUGCCGCGUGUGUGAAGAAGGCCUUCGGGUUGUAAAGCAC